Molecule: ribosomal RNA, 390 nt
Filed under: fungal sp.
Lineage: Eukaryota; Fungi
Description: SSU rRNA
Rfam family: Eukaryotic small subunit ribosomal RNA
Source: RNAcentral
CGUGUGGUUCUAUUUUGUUGGUUUCUAGGACCGCCGUAAUGAUUAAUAGGGACAGUCGGGGGCAUCAGUAUUCAAUUGUCAGAGGUGAAAUUCUUGGAUCUAUUGAAGACUAACUACUGCGAAAGCAUUUGCCAAGGAUGUUUUCAUUGAUAAGGAACGAAAGUUAGGGGAUCGAAGACGAUCAGAUACCGUCGUAGUCUUAACUAUAAACUAUGCCGACUAGGGAUCGGACGAUGUUAUAUCUUGACGCGUUCGGCACCUUUCGAGAAAUCAAAGUGCUUGGGCUCCAGGGGGAGUAUGGUCGCAAGGCUGAAACUUAAAGAAAUUGACGGAAGGGCACCACCAGGGGUGGAACCUGCGGCUUAAUUUGACUCAACACGGGGAAACUCA